ACCACCGGAGCUACAAGCGCCACAUUGUUCGGCAACAGCAGUUCUCUCUUUUAAUCUGUUCUUUGGAUUCCAUUCUUCUUCUUCAUUCCAAUGUACCAGAACCCAGCAUCGGAAGCUUAGAUAUCUCCUCUAAUGUCCCUUUACCAACUUCAUUUCCUUUCUCCAAGCGCCUCCUUCAACUUCCCUUGCUCUUCCAAACCUAAAAAAUGGAAUCUGAAACGGAAUUUCCAUAAAAACCCAGUUCAUGGAGUUGUAAUUUCCGCUUCCUCGGCGGAGAAACCCAGUAGAAAGAAGAAGGGAAGACCAUCUAGGGCUUUGAUGAGUGAUGAGGAUCUCUGCAAGCAGCUCCGGGAGGUUAUGUCUGUGGCGGGUCUUCCAGCGGAUCGAGUUCCGCUAAUGAAAGAGCUGUGCGAGCAUGGAAGAAAAGACCUUGCAAAUAUUGUGAGACGGAGAGGAUACAAGGUUGUGAGGCUGCUUCUCAGUACUUCCAAUCUUAGUGAUAACCAUAAUGAUAAUUCUUCUGUUGAAGAUCAGGAACGCAGGGAUCCUCAGGGUGAUGAAGCUUCAGAAUUUGAAGGGACACAUUUAGGCUCAGCUGAAAGCAUUUCUUUAUUAACAAUGUCUCCUGAAGAUUACAAUGCAGAAACAAAUGGGACAAAGAAAAAUAAUAUGCCGGCUCAAAUUGUUUCUGGGACUAAUAGAGAUUUUCAUGUCCUUGAGGAAGAACAGCUACCUAGCAGCGAUCAGGUUAUCAAUCAGGAAAAAAGGAUAGAGACAAUUGAGGAUUUGGCUUCUAACAUGAAUUUUUAUGAAGACAACCGAACAACUAAAAUUGGUGAUCUAAAAGACUUGCUGCACGAAAAAGAGAUGGAGCUUGUGGAGUUAAAGCAACAUAUUGAAAAACAAAAGCAAGCUUUGGCCUUGUUGCAAGCAAGGGCUCGAAAUGAGAUCGGCAAUGUGCAUAGAGUCAUGAUGACUAAAGAUGCCGAACUUAGUGCAUCUAAAGACAAGCUUUCUGGACUAAAGGAGGUUCAACUCCAAUUCCGUGUCAAUGGAGAAAUUGUUGAAGUUGCUGGAAGCUUUAAUGGUUGGCAUAAACAGAUAAAAAUGAAUCUGCAUCCGUCAUCUAAAACUGUUGAUUUACAAGGUUCCAGAGCAUCCAAAUUAUGGUCAACAAUUUUGUGGCUCUAUCCUGGAACUUACGAGAUAAAAUUCAUUGUUGAUGGUCAAUGGAUGAUAGAUCCUCAGCGAGAGGUUGCAACCAAUGGUCACAUAACCAACAACGUCCUUAGGGUAGACAGACGAGACAUCCACUGAUUCCAUCUUCAAGCCAUCUCAGCCUUUUGUUUCGACUUUCGAUUCCGUUCAUCAUGAUUUAUGGCAACCGAUCAGGAUCGAAAGCUUUUGCAGAUUGAAUAUUAUAUGAGGUAGAUUCUAUGAAUACAUUUGAAGAAUGGAACAUUUAUGUGGUCCUACAGCAAUAGUUGAUAGAGGAAUGAUGUGGACACAUGCCGGCAUGCGACCUGGCGGUCAGAUGCGGGCAAAUUCGUUUUUGAGUCAUUCUGGGUGAACCCAAAUCCGACCCGAUAUUUUGAAACGGGUCGGUUUGCUGAACUCGAAGCCGACCCGUUUCACAAACGGGUGGACCCUAAUCCGGAAUUUUUUAGUCGGGGUAGAGUCGAGUUUUCGAGUUGUCAAAUAUUGACACCCCUAAAAUGAAACACAUGCAUAUAACAAAUUUCAUGGAGCAAUGCUUCAGCUUCAUUCAUCUCCCUGAUUAUUGUUAUGGAUGCCUUGGCAUUGAAGAAAAGGGGAUUAAAUUCUGGAUUCUCACUGUAGUAGGGAUGUUCUUCUUUAUGGUUGUGUGGAGUUGUUUUGCAUUGUAAGGUUUGUUUGU
This is an RNA transcript of Dendrobium catenatum, 1897 nucleotides long. It is a transcript of the gene named protein PTST homolog 3, chloroplastic, with no coding region annotated. The record is from RefSeq and is a predicted model, not a curated record. Lineage: Eukaryota; Viridiplantae; Streptophyta; Magnoliopsida; Asparagales; Orchidaceae. The transcript is spliced from 14 exons.